CAGCAGCCGCGGGAAUACGUAGGGUGCAAGCGUUAAUCGGAAUUACUGGGCGUAAAGCGUGCGCAGGCGGUUAGUUAAGACAGAUGUGAAAUCCCCGGGCUCAACCUGGGAACUGCAUUAGUGACUGCAUCGCUGGAGUGCGGCAGAGGGGGAUGGAAUUCCGCGUGUAGCAGUGAAAUGCGUAGAUAUGCGGAGGAACACCGAUGGCGAAGGCAAUCCCCUGGGCCUGCACUGACGCUCAUGCACGAAAGCGUGGGGAGCAAACAGGAUUAGAUACCCCGUAGUCCCUGUCUCUUAUACA
This 301-nucleotide ribosomal RNA is filed under the name uncultured bacterium. Its description in RNAcentral is "partial 16S ribosomal RNA". It matches the Rfam family "Bacterial small subunit ribosomal RNA", at positions 509 to 808 of the family's 1533-position model. The record is from RNAcentral.